AUCGCGGCCGCUGCAGAGUUUGAUCCUGGCUCAGAUUGAACGCUGGCGGAAUGCUUUACACAUGCAAGUCGGGCGGCAGCGCGGGGGCAACCCUGGCGGCGAGCGGCGAACGGGUGAGUAAUACAUCGGAACGUACCCAGUCGUGGGGGAUAGCCCGGCGAAAGCCGGAUUUAAUACCGCAUACGCCCUGAGGGGGAAAGCGGGGGACCGGAAACGGCCUCGCGCGAUUGGAGCGGCCGGAUGGCGGAUUAGCUAGUUGGUGGGGUAAAGGCCUACCAAGGCGACGAUCCGUAGCUGGUCUGAGAGGAUGAUCGCGCCACACUGGGACUGAGACACGGCCCAGACUCCUACGGGAGGCAGCAGUAGGGAAUCUUCCGCAAUGGACGAAAGUCUGACGGAGCAACGACGCGUGAGCAAAGAAAGGCCUUCGGGUCGUAAAGCUC
Molecule: ribosomal RNA, 443 nt
Filed under: uncultured bacterium
Lineage: Bacteria
Description: bacterial SSU rRNA
Rfam family: Bacterial small subunit ribosomal RNA
Source: RNAcentral